UUUGCUGAGACAUACUUCUUGGAAAUUAAAAGUGAUAGACAAAUUAAAUAUGACGUUCAUUGGAUAUAUGAAAUAUAUCAUAUUAUUGUCACUGUUCCAGGAUAAGUGCUUGCUCUUCAGUGGAAAGAACAGGGGCACAACUAAGAAAAAAAUGGAAUGAUUAUAAAUCUCAGGUGAAAAGAAGAGCCAUGGAUGUCAGAAAAGAAUCAUCCAAAACCGGAGGUGGUCCAGCUCCAGUACCUCUGACUGAUCUGGAAUUUAAAGUUGUAUCACUGAUUCCACAGUGCCAAAUUGAAGGGAUAACUGGUGGAUUGGAGUCUGAGGUUGAUGAAAUUUUUCAAACACUGAACAUGGUCAGUGAUAGUGGCCUUCCCACAGAAGACUACUU
Long non-coding RNA from Haliotis rubra (blacklip abalone), 388 nucleotides. RefSeq lists it as uncharacterized. The transcript is spliced from 4 exons. Lineage: Eukaryota; Metazoa; Mollusca; Gastropoda; Lepetellida; Haliotidae. The record is from RefSeq and is a predicted model, not a curated record.